This 468-nucleotide ribosomal RNA is filed under the name uncultured bacterium. RNAcentral describes it as "partial 16S ribosomal RNA". It matches the Rfam family "Bacterial small subunit ribosomal RNA", at positions 28 to 507 of the family's 1533-position model. The record is from RNAcentral.
GACGAACGCUGGCGGCGUGCUUAACACAUGCAAGUCGAACGGAAAGGCCCUGCUUUUGUGGGGUGCUCGAGUGGCGAACGGGUGAGUAACACGUGAGUAACCUGCCCUUGACUUUGGGAUAACUUCAGGAAACUGGGGCUAAUACCGGAUAGGAGCUCCUGCUGCAUGGUGGGGGUUGGAAAGUUUCGGCGGUUGGGGAUGGACUCGCGGCUUAUCAGCUGGUUGGUGGGGUAGUGGCGUACCAAGGCUUUGACGGGUAGCCGGCCUGAGAGGGUGACCGGCGACAUUGGGACUGGGAUACGGCCCAGACUCCUACGGGAGGCAGCAGUGGGGAAUAUUGCACAAUGGGCGGAAGCCUGAUGCAGCAACGCCGCGUGCGGGAUGACGGCCUUCGGGUUGUAAACCGCUUUCGCCUGUGACGAAGCGUGAGUGACGGUAAUGGGUAAAGAAGCACCGGCUAACUACGUG